GUGUAACAGUAUCUCUUGUAAAUUACAGUUUUCAGAAACCCAACAUUGCUAGUGAUAGUUUCUAUCAUUGGAUCUGUCCAAGUUACAAGGGGAGGAGAUUCCCCCGUGUAACAGUAUCUCUUGUAAGUUACAGUUUUCAGAAACCCAACAUUGCUAACAAUAGUUUCUAUCAUUGGAUCUGUCCAAGUAACAAGGGGAGGAGAUUCCCCUGUGUAACAGUAUCUCUUGUAAGUUACAGUUUUCAGAAACCCAACAUUGCUAACGAUAGUUUCUAUCACUGGAUUAGGACAACUAACUGCUUGGUUGGUUUCUGUGUGUAAUCAAAGGCUUACUUUCUUUGUAGGUAGUUUUUACUCAAGAUCUAAAAACCACAGAAGCGUGAUGAAAACAAUGACUGUUACCACUGGCACAGGCAUAUUUUACCAGGAUCCUGAUUGCAAGAAACUUACCAACAAACUACAACAACAUCAUUUCUUCCAGGAUAAGAAGAGUUUCCAGUGUCCAGGAUGCGGAAAGGAUUUCACAAGAAAGUCCAACCUUGUCAGGCAUAGCACUUACUAUUGCACUCGGGAAAAUCACUAAACUUAAUCUCUAGCAAAAAUUUGGCAUCACGGGAAUGGGAAAAUAUCUGAUGAACAGGAGUUCUUGUACAUCUUUUACAACUUGCAUCUCACCACAUGAUAUCCCAGUUUGGCAGUUGUUGUCUCUUAUUAUCGUUUGAUGAACAUUGGAGAUGAUACGAUCUUCUUUUACCUAAAUUAUAAUUACAUAUUUAUACUGUGUGUAGUUUCUGCCAAGGUGUGCUAUAUAUAUUUUUUUUCACGAUAUGUAAAUACUGAUGGAUUAUUAUUGAAAUUUUCAUAAUAAAUAAAAAAAAAAAAUCAAUUUGAUUGUACAACCCACAGGUUACCCCCGUUACCAGUGGUCCAAGCUGACCGUAGAAACUUCAGAUGGAUUGAGAUAUUUGUGUCCAGAGUGUAUGAAAACAUUUCGAUCAGCCGACUCUGUCCGAAAGCACCACAUGUAUUCCCACAGGUCUAUCAGGAGCUUUGAGUGUCAGCACUGUCGCAAAAUCUUCAAAAGAAACAGCGACCUAAAAACUCAUAGUCGUAUACGUUGCAAGGACCGAUUCUGAGCAACCUGUGUUUGUUAUGCAGUUCCUCUUCUUCUAUUUAUAUGUACAUAUAUUUUAAAGACAUGCAUGUAAAUGAUAAAUUAAUUCAACUUGUAGAUUAUGACAAACUAAUUUCUUGGAUAUAGUUUGUGUUGUGAAUAAAAUAUAUCAGAUCAAUAUUAGCUUGGGGUGUUAUUCCCUGUUGAAAAUAUUUUACACUAUCAAUUUUAUAAGUAAACUAGAAGUGUUAAGCAUUCCACCUCAGAACAAAAUACGUGUAUGAAGAAUUAUAAAGUUUCCUUUAACAUCCUACCAUCUAGGGUACUACUGAAAAUGUGUAUAAUCAGUUCUAUAACGUAUGCAGAAUCUCUUACUUGUCCUGGUAAAUUCCACUUUAUUGUUUGGAAUAUUCUGUAAGAUCUUUGUUGUUGUUGUAGUAGAAGUCAUCCAUUUACCCAAGUCACAAUUCCACUUUUGUUUUAAAGUAGUGUAGGUGUAUUCUGCUACAUUGGCCAUUAAUAGUCUCUCUCUCUCCCGUCUUGUUUAUACGUUCAAACACACCAUAGAAUUCAACAUCUGUAUUGGUAUGUUCCAGGAAACUACUACCUCAGUUGGGCCCAGCAAGCAGUAGUUACCCCAACAGGAACAAGGUACAUGUGUCCUGUCUGUAACAAAACCUUCAGCUCGGGAACGUCCCUUAGUGUGCAUCACCUUCGACAGCAUCGAACAAUCCACAAGUGUAAGAGCUGUGGGCAAGAAUUUGGCGAGAAAAAUGACCUCAAACUUCAUUAUUCAUUUUGCAGGAGAAAGAAGACUUGUUGAAAAAUCCUCGAUGACAGAAAUAGCAGUAAACAUCGUUUCUAAGAACAGCCGACUGUUUAGAUGGUCUUCCUCUUGCUGGUACUAAUCUGAAACAGCUAGCUCCUGGAUCUAGAAACAAAAGAAAAGCAAGCAUAUCAUUUAUAAAAUAUAUUGAUGGCUUUGGUACAUUUGUAGAGCCAUUUUAAAA
Long non-coding RNA from Limulus polyphemus (Atlantic horseshoe crab), 2123 nucleotides. RefSeq lists it as uncharacterized. Lineage: Eukaryota; Metazoa; Arthropoda; Merostomata; Xiphosura; Limulidae. The transcript is spliced from 3 exons. The record is from RefSeq and is a predicted model, not a curated record.